Molecule: ribosomal RNA, 181 nt
Filed under: Salmonella enterica
Lineage: Bacteria; Pseudomonadati; Pseudomonadota; Gammaproteobacteria; Enterobacterales; Enterobacteriaceae
Also listed under: 2 other names
Description: partial 23S ribosomal RNA
Rfam family: Bacterial large subunit ribosomal RNA
Source: RNAcentral
AGAUAAGUGCUGAAAGCAUCUAAGCACGAAACUUGCCCCGAGAUGAGUUCUCCCUGAGACUUAAAGUCUCCUGAAGGAACGUUGAAGACGACGACGUUGAUAGGCCGGGUGUGUAAGCGCAGCGAUGCGUUGAGCUAACCGGUACUAAUGAACCGUGAGGCUUAACCUUACAACGCCGAAG